Molecule: ribosomal RNA, 484 nt
Filed under: uncultured bacterium
Lineage: Bacteria
Description: partial 16S ribosomal RNA
Rfam family: Bacterial small subunit ribosomal RNA
Source: RNAcentral
AUUGAACGCUGGCGGCAUGCUUUACACAUGCAAGUCGAACGGCAGCGCGGGCUUCGGCCUGGCGGCGAGCGGCGAACGGGUGAGUAAUACAUCGGAACGUGCCCAGUAGUGGGGGAUAGCUCGGCGAAAGCCGGAUUAAUACCGCAUACGACCUGAGGGUGAAAGCGGGGGAUCUUCGGACCUCGCGCUAUUGGAGCGGCCGAUGGCAGAUUAGCUAGUUGGUGGGGUAAAGGCCUACCAAGGCGACGAUCUGUAGCUGGUCUGAGAGGACGACCAGCCACACUGGGACUGAGACACGGCCCAGACUCCUACGGGAGGCAGCAGUGGGGAAUUUUGGACAAUGGGCGAAAGCCUGAUCCAGCAAUGCCGCGUGUGUGAUGAAGGCCUUCGGGUUGUAAAGCACUUUUGACGGGAACGAAAAGGACUGUGCCAAUACCACGGUUCGAUGACGGUACCCGCAGAAUAAGCACCGGCUAACUACGUG